This 484-nucleotide ribosomal RNA is filed under the name uncultured bacterium. RNAcentral describes it as "partial 16S ribosomal RNA". It matches the Rfam family "Bacterial small subunit ribosomal RNA", at positions 30 to 507 of the family's 1533-position model. The record is from RNAcentral.
AUUGAACGCUGGCGGCAGGCCUAACACAUGCAAGUCGAGCGGAUGAAGGGAGCUUGCUCCUGGAUUCAGCGGCGGACGGGUGAGUAAUGCCUAGGAAUCUGCCUGGUAGUGGGGGAUAACGUCCGGAAACGGGCGCUAAUACCGCAUACGUCCUGAGGGAGAAAGGGGGGGAUCUUCGGACCUCACGCUAUCAGAUGAGCCUAGGUCGGAUUAGCUAGUUGGUGGGGUAAAGGCCUACCAAGGCGACGAUCCGUAACUGGUCUGAGAGGAUGAUCAGUCACACUGGAACUGAGACACGGUCCAGACUCCUACGGGAGGCAGCAGUGGGGAAUAUUGGACAAUGGGCGAAAGCCUGAUCCAGCCAUGCCGCGUGUGUGAAGAGGGUCUUCGGAUUGUAAAGCACUUUAAGUUGGGAGGAAGGGCAGUAAGUUAAUACCUUGCUGUUUUGACGUUACCAACAGAAUAAGCACCGGCUAACUUCGUG